AGAGUUUGAUCCUGGCUCAGGAUGAACGCUAGCUACAGGCUUAACACAUGCAAGUCGAGGGGAAACGACAUCGAAAGCUUGCUUUUGAUGGGCGUCGACCGGCGCACGGGUGAGUAACGCGUAUCCAACCUGCCCACCACUUGGGGAUAACCUUGCGAAAGUAAGACUAAUACCCAAUGAUAUCUCUAGAAGACAUCUGAAAGAGAUUAAAGAUUUAUCGGUGAUGGAUGGGGAUGCGUCUGAUUAGCUUGUUGGCGGGGUAACGGCCCACCAAGGCAACGAUCAGUAGGGGUUCUGAGAGGAAGGUCCCCCACAUUGGAACUGAGACACGGUCCAAACUCCUACGGGAGGCAGCAGUGAGGAAUAUUGGUCAAUGGGCGAGAGCCUGAACCAGCCAAGUAGCGUGCAGGAAGACGGCCCUAUGGGUUGUAAACUGCUUUUAUAAGGGAAUAAAGUGAGUCUCGUGAGACUUUUUGCAUGUACCUUAUGAAUAAGGACCGGCUAAUUCCGUGCCAGCAGCCGCGGUAAUACGGAAGGUCCGGGCGUUAUCCGGAUUUAUUGGGUUUAAAGGGAGCGUAGGCCGGAGAUUAAGCGUGUUGUGAAAUGUAGACGCUCAACGUCUGCACUGCAGCGCGAACUGGUUUCCUUGAGUACGCACAAAGUGGGCGGAAUUCGUGGUGUAGCGGUGAAAUGCUUAGAUAUCACGAAGAACUCCGAUUGCGAAGGCAGCUCACUGGAGCGCAACUGACGCUGAAGCUCGAAAGUGCGGGUAUCGAACAGGAUUAGAUACCCUGGUAGUCCGCACGGUAAACGAUGGACGCCCGCUGUUGGUCUGAACAGGUCAGCGGCCAAGCGAAAGCAUUAAGCAUCCCACCUGGGGAGUACGCCGGCAACGGUGAAACUCAAAGGAAUUGACGGGGGCCCGCACAAGCGGAGGAACAUGUGGUUUAAUUCGAUGAUACGCGAGGAACCUUACCCGGGCUUGAAUUGCAGAGGAAGGAUUUGGAGACAAUGACGCCCUUCGGGGUCUCUGUGAAGGUGCUGCAUGGUUGUCGUCAGCUCGUGCCGUGAGGUGUCGGCUUAAGUGCCAUAACGAGCGCAACCCCUCUCCUUAGUUGCCAUCAGGUUAAGCUGGGCACUCUGGGGACACUGCCACCGUAAGGUGUGAGGAAGGUGGGGAUGACGUCAAAUCAGCACGGCCCUUACGUCCG
Molecule: ribosomal RNA, 1211 nt
Filed under: metagenome
Description: bacterial SSU rRNA
Rfam family: Bacterial small subunit ribosomal RNA
Source: RNAcentral